This 128-nucleotide ribosomal RNA is filed under the name uncultured Clostridium sp. Its description in RNAcentral is "partial 16S ribosomal RNA". It matches the Rfam family "Bacterial small subunit ribosomal RNA", at positions 335 to 480 of the family's 1533-position model. The record is from RNAcentral. Lineage: Bacteria; Bacillati; Bacillota; Clostridia; Eubacteriales; Clostridiaceae.
ACUCCUACGGGAGGCAGCAGUGGGGAAUAUUGCACAAUGGGGGAAACCCUGAUGCAGCAACGCCGCGUGAGUGAUGACGGCCUUCGGGUUGUAAAGCUCUGUCUUCAGGGACGAUAAUGACGGUACCU